Carassius carassius (crucian carp) is the source of this 1158-nucleotide long non-coding RNA. RefSeq lists it as uncharacterized. The transcript is spliced from 3 exons. Lineage: Eukaryota; Metazoa; Chordata; Actinopteri; Cypriniformes; Cyprinidae. The record is from RefSeq and is a predicted model, not a curated record.
CAUAGUUUUUUACUUUCUAUUAAGCUGAUAAAUGUUUGUUUUGUCUAGUUUCUCCUUUGCUAUGUCUGUUCUCACAUUUAGCAUGCUUCAUAGCAUAACAUGUUUAAAAACCUCUUUGAGUGAAAUACACGAGAAGUUCUGAGAAAAUGCUUUGAUCUGCAUGUGUCUCUUACAGAAGCUGUGAGUGAAGACAGAGGAAGUCUGGGAAGAGUGAAGCUUAGCUCAGUAUUAAUACUAAGGAAAGGCAAACAGGGAUUGCAAUCAGCUUGGACCAUAAUCAAAAAUCAACGUCUAGGCAAGUCAGCCAUCACACACACACACACACACACACACACACACACACAGAAUAUAAGCUGUCACUGAGCCAGCCAAAUUCAUAGAGUACAGUCAGAGCAAUGCUCUAUACUUGGCCACUGGCUCACUGCAUUCCCUACAUUCAUCUAAGAAAAAAGUGUGGGAGAGAGAGUGAACUGGGUGUGUAUAGCAAUUUGAAGAAAACACAGAAAACAAUAUAAUACUAAAACCAAAAAGACACUCAGAAAUUCAUUAUUUUCUAUCCACACCAACACAUUAUCGUUUAUAUCACCUAUAAAUAUCAUAUGUCAUAAAACACCCUUAUAUCUCCUGUAACUAAUCUAGUACAUAUGCUAUAUCUAACCUAAAUCUCUCUUGUAUCCCCCGAGGAAUCAAAGCAUCUGCCACAAGAAGAAUGAAAGUGAUGACAGAUUCUGCAGGGAGAGACAUGAAUACCUUCUGCACAGAUCUGAAGGCACUGUUGAGCUAUCAGCAGUAAAACAACAAUCUCUGAGAUUUUCUGAGAAGUCAGCAAUAAUAAAUAUUCAAAAAAAUAUUCAGUACGAUCAUUAGAAAGAGAAGGAUUCCAGCGCUGCAAGUCUGUGUGUAUGAGCAUUUGCGUUUGACUAAAUGUUUGGGAGAUUAUUCUGAAGGAGAGAACAUAUCUCUCAUAUCUACACAUACACACAACAUUUUCCAUGAACACACAGUUUGCUGGGCUUUCUAGUUUGCCACCGUACUAUUUGAGGUAUCUGUACCCUCUAUCAGCUCUGCUACAUACCAGGAUUAUGUGUUUGUGUGUUUAACAGAUGUAAUGGAGAGCGUGUGUGUGCAAAGCAGCGGUUCUCAGCUGGUGGGCUGUGA